GGGGCGGGGAUUUAAACACCUAGCUGAAGUGGACUCUCAGGACUAGCUCUUCCUGUCUAGUAUGCAGCGGCGAGGAGGGAAGGGGAGGAACGCGGCAGGGAGAGGGGCGCGGACGUUCCUACCGGUAGAAGAGGGCGGCGGAGGAGGGAGGGAGGUCACGGUGGCGCGACACCGAAGGGGGAAGGAGGAUCGUAGCAACUGCGUGGGGUACGGUUCCAGGGUCGGCUUGCCGCCGUUGAUAAAAGCCGCAGUAAGGAGCGUGCGGACUCUCUUGACGAGCAGCGGCUCAGGCAGGGUGACGUUCGUACCGUCGUGACGCUAGAUGAGCGAGGAGGGAGCGGCAUCCGUCCGUCUACCAGUCCUUGGAAUUAGGGAUCCUGAUGAGGGCUUGUUCGUAAGUCUAAGAACUUCUACAGAGGUGUGUAAGAUAAAGGUUAUGUAUCUUGUAAUCUUGCGUUCGUAUACGAAAGACCUACAGAGUCCAUACCUUAAUCAGUGAUGACGUUCGAAACAGAUGUGAAGUGUUCAAUAUACCUAGUUCAAUUAAAAAUCGUCUUAUUGUACACUUUAUAAUGAAAACCUAUCUCAAAUUUACAUCGUACAAAGGAAGAACUGGUUUUCCACGAGCUCAAGAAACAGAUCGUAUAAUUUCCUCGGAACUACAACUGUUAAGGUGUUGAAAUAACCUAGAAAAUAGUACUAUAAAAGGUCAGACGACGGUCUAACAAGUGUGUUACACGGUGUUGGAAAAGACGUCCAUUACACAGUUCGAAAACCUGACGAUACAACGGACUAUCAAGAUCGGUUAACCCAAAAGUACACGAGCGAACACUCUACUUACUUACCAUUUUCUAGUUUUCAACAUACUAAGAUGAUUAGGAGGGAAUAUUUAGUAUCAAACGUCGAACUCCUACUCCAUACACGAAACUAAAAACCUGGAGAACGUCGAACUCCUGCUCCAUACACGGGGAGGGGACCAAUGAACGGUCAUUGGUACAGCCUAAGUAAUGUUAAUAAUUGGGUAAACAUCCUUCUCUAUCUAGACGAGACCACCACCCUCUGUUUGUUACGGAAAACCACGAUAAAAGAUUUAUUCUAUAUACGUACAGAAGUGUGGAGGUAACGACAACGCGGGUAUUGGGUUCGAGGCGACGACGGUGUAACAACCAGGCGUUUCUCUUGCGUUUGCCAUAUCGAGACUUUAGGUGCUGUCUGUAACGAGAGUAAGACAACGAUAACAACACCUUGCGGCUCCUGCGUACGUGGUGCCGGCGGCCAAGAGGGUUAGUCCCCCGCACUUUAGACGGUAGUCAUACAAAACACACACUAAGCUUCAAACCGUUGGCCGUACUACGCUCUUUUUUGUUGUCACCUAUGGAGGGUAGUUAACAACUAUCAACCAAACAAUGAAGUCUGAGUGCCCACUUAGGUGUCCAUUACAAACGUGGUUAUUUUGACGUUGGAAGUAACGUCCUGUUGAAGAUUGACUUAGAGUACCUAAACAGAAGUGUAUUACAAGAGAAUCAGCCUAACACCGUACGUCGUUCCACUCGUUGGUUAGUAGUAGCACUCUAAAGAUAAGACUUACGACUUCUUUCGAUGAUUCGUUCAAGUACAUACAUGUUGUCAAGAUUAACGAAGAAAAUCUCUUCAGGGUCAACAUGCUUCGAUGUGACACUUAAGAGUAGAAUGAUUUAAAAAGUAAGUUGAAGAGGUAAAACCUGACAUAUAAAAGUAAUGAUAGAGAAGAUGGAAUAAAAUCGCUAAAAUUAGUCGACGCUACCGCAAGUUGUUGAGAAAUACAAAAAUCAGAAAAAUAAAUGAUCGUAACACAAUACGAAACUCUAAGUUUCUUGGUGUCUGCGUGACACUCUGAUAAUACGGGUUCAAUCGGUUCUCGGAUUCUGUAUGAUUUUUGUAAAAAAUCUAUUCUAUCAAUACUUUUUUCUCUGAAACAAUUAGCCAUGACUUUACGUAUUGUAACUACGAUCUUAGAAUAAAAAGCGACAUAUAUUAUAGUUGUUGUACUAAAAAAGGCCCAGUAUCUAACGAACCUUUUUACGUUGUAACUAUACGAUCUUAGGACUCCUCUAAUACCGGCCACUACCUCUAAUAAAACAUACGAGUACCACGGCACCGCUGACGUGCCGCCUCCCGACGUGCGAACUGAAGCUGUAGUCGCAGAAGUUGUUCCUCUUCUAGAGGGAGCGGUCGGUACUGCUCAUAUACCACCGCCCGCCCACGUUGGAGAAGGGUAACGAGGGCCUCCGCAGUUCCCACAGUACAGGAAACAGCACUAGCCUACCCCGAGGGUCCAAGUCAGGGUAGAAGCGAAACGAGGGAGUAACGCGUCAAAGAGAGGAUAGACAUCUCUAUACAGAGAGAUGACGAUAAGAUGACUUAUAAUAAGAACCUCAUAGUAUCGGUUAACGAAAUGACCACUUGUACACAUCCUCCUAAACACCAAAUCGUAAUAAUCUGGAGACACUUAUGUACAUAUCCUCCUAAGAACCUCGAAACAUGUUAGUCAUUCCGGUAGUUUCGAUUAAGGAAAUGACCACUUGUACAUAUCCUCCUAAGUAAUAAUCUGGAGAGAUGUAUUGAUGUAUAUGUACAAACGAGACACGAUGUUUUUUUCUGAGAGGAAACCACCACUCUUAUUUUUCCUUAUUUAAAUGAUAAGCCUUAUUUUAAAUUAACCCACUUGACAUCUUCGACUGAAACAAUCUCUUUCCAACUCUUGGGUGGGAAAGAAAGAACAUCCUAACUCUUCUAAAACUUAAAUCUUGGAAAAUCUACAUGUUUUUCUUUCGUCUAACACGAACAUCUAUUACUACCACUCUUCUAGUUUAAAUACCAUACCCCUCUCACCAAAUUGUCUAACAUGAACAUGUCUUUCUCUCGUCUAACACAAAGAAAAGUCUUCUAUUGAAAACGGUCGGUAACACAACGAACAUUCGUCUUAUGAAUAACUAAAUCAAGAGAGUGGUGACUAAGAGGACUUCGACAUUAAACAUAACUCAAUAUAUAUAACACAGUUAGGAUUAUAAUCAUAUACGUUGGAUUGUGCUACUAUGGUUGCCACAAUGUACAGUGUUAUACAAAUCAAGGAAUCAAGACAAAUAAACGUAGAAGAUGAAAGUCCGGUACCUGUGUACGUUGUAUACGUCUUGGUUUUUGAUCCACAUUAGACUACAAGGGAAACAUCUUGGACGAAACUCUUUUAUCAUGGGUUACACAGGUACGAAAGGUG
This 3253-nucleotide ribosomal RNA is filed under the name Triticum aestivum (bread wheat). RNAcentral's name for it is "partial small subunit ribosomal RNA". The record is from RNAcentral. Lineage: Eukaryota; Viridiplantae; Streptophyta; Magnoliopsida; Poales; Poaceae.